UCCGCCUUGCGACGGCAGUUCCGCUAGAGUGAUACAACUAGCAGUAGGGGUUGCGCUCGUUAACCCACUUAAGGGUACGCCUCACGGUACGAGCUGACGACAGCCAUGCAACACCUGUGCAAAACCCUCGAAGGAGUCCCAUUUUCAUGGGAUUAGCAUUUGCAUGUCAAGCCUGGGUAAGGUUCUUGGGUUAUCAGCCAAUUAAAGAGCAUGCUCCACCGCUUGUGCGGGUCCCCGCCAAUUCCUUUGAGUUUUAGCCUUGCGACCGUACUCCCCAGGCGGCCUGCUUAACGCGUUAGCUUCGACACUCAACCUAAGCCAAGUAUCUAGCAGGCAUAGUUUACGGCGUGGAGUAC
RNAcentral lists this unclassified non-coding RNA (356 nucleotides) under uncultured bacterium. RNAcentral describes it as "contains 16S-23S intergenic spacer region". The record is from RNAcentral.